ACCAUAGUUGGUCAAUUAGUUCAAAUAACUCUGAUGUAACCAGGGUGUUUCAAGUCCGGAAAUUCUCAAUCUUUUCAAACCUAAUUUUUGUCAUUGUAUAUGAUAUAACGUUCUUUAUUUGAAUCAUAGACAAUAACCUUGUGAUGUUAUGAAUCAACUUAUGAUGUAUUAACUUUUGGUACAAAAGUCGGCAUUUAAAUUAAAAACAAACAAGAAUGUGUCCAUAGUACACGGAUGCCC
RNAcentral lists this long non-coding RNA (240 nucleotides) under Mytilus galloprovincialis (Mediterranean mussel). Lineage: Eukaryota; Metazoa; Mollusca; Bivalvia; Mytilida; Mytilidae. The record is from RNAcentral.